This 366-nucleotide ribosomal RNA is filed under the name Lysinibacillus macroides. RNAcentral describes it as "bacterial SSU rRNA". It matches the Rfam family "Bacterial small subunit ribosomal RNA", at positions 74 to 432 of the family's 1533-position model. The record is from RNAcentral. Lineage: Bacteria; Bacillati; Bacillota; Bacilli; Caryophanales; Bacillaceae.
AGAGCUUUGCUCCCUGAGAUUAGCGGCGGACGGGUGAGUAACACGUGGGCAACCUGCCUAUAAGACUGGGAUAACUUCGGGAAACCGGAGCUAAUACCGGAUACGUUCUUUUCUCGCAUGAGAGAAGAUGGAAAGACGGUUUACGCUGUCACUUAUAGAUGGGCCCGCGGCGCAUUAGCUAGUUGGUGAGGUAAUGGCUCACCAAGGCGACGAUGCGUAGCCGACCUGAGAGGGUGAUCGGCCACACUGGGACUGAGACACGGCCCAGACUCCUACGGGAGGCAGCAGUAGGGAAUCUUCCGCAAUGGACGAAAGUCUGACGGAGCAACGCCGCGUGAACGAAGAAGGCCUUCGGGUCGUAAAGUU